UCUCUCUCUCUCUCUCUCUGCUCUGGUUGACUUCCAACACAAUGGCCCUCUGCUGCACACACAGGCUUGGGGGAGUGCUGGAGGUGUAUGCUUGUACACACACGCUUCUGUGCAGUCAGAAUUCAGAACUGUCCCCCAAAGCACACCUUAUGCUGCCCUGCACCACUCACCUCCACUGCCCUCCUCAGCCCAGUGAAGGACACAAGAACCUGAUCCUCCCAGGACCCGACCGGGAUCUGAGGAAGAACACUGGGUGUCUCCACAGACUCCCAGGGAGGCCUGCACCCAUCUUAUCAGGACUUGAGGGCCUGGGGCACCUGUACUCUAACCCCGCCAUAUGCCGGUGCUGCUGGAGACAGCGCCGAGCUUAAUCCGGAGAAGACUUGCUCCAAAGCCCUUCCAUUCCACACAGUCACCGGGGCCACAUUUCUGCAGGGGGCACAGACAUCAUCUGAGAUGUCAUUUCAAGGCUGGAGCCCAACGUGUCUGUAGAGAAGCCCACUCAUACAGGUCUCAGAGCAAGAAGAGCUGAAGGAGGUCGAGUGGUGGAACUUGGAAGAACUUCAGUCAUUCAUUAAAUUGUCACUUUUCCCAAGGGAGCAUUCUAGAAACCGUGAUGAUUAACACUGUGCAGGGCUCUGCAGCCUAUCAAGUGGAUGCUGGGCUCUGCUUCCUUGGUUUACCCCCUGGGGGUAUGGGACGGGCAUAGUGUGGUCAAGGUCUGGAGUCUGGGUAGCACAUGGCUUGACCUGGACUCAACCCAGCAUGACCUCAGAGUUGUGUCCUAGUGCAGGAUUGUGUGUGGUGUUCUCAGCACCCAGCCCUCUCCUGUCCUCUUGUCUGAAAUGGUCUGUUCUUUGUGAUUUCAGCCCACCUUGGUCGGCCCUGACUUGAAGGACCCAGGGCGUGUGUCACUAACUGCCCACUUCCAGCAGAGCACAAAGUUGGGGACAGGAACAGCAACACAGCCUCUGCUGAUCUCUAAAGCUACUUUAAAGAACCCUGAAAACCUCCCUCCCAUGUCUGCCUGGGCCGCUUGAGGGUCCCCUGCCUCCUUCCAAUAGUCAGAGCCUGAGGGAGUUGAAGAAGACACCAGACCUAGCUCCUGCAGCUGGACAUGGACCUUAGGAAAGACCUUGGGUGUGUCAGGAAGACACUGGAGGAAUGACAACCGAUGCCACAGAGAGCCUGGAGGAGGGGAUCAUCUUGGUGCUGAUUCUUGGCUCUGGGCCUGGCUGGCAGUUCAGGCCUCUGGAUGCCUGGUCCUUUCAGAUCUCUAUGGGGAGCUAACCAGACAUAAAGGGCACUGGGACAUCCAGAAAGGACUAGUUGUUUUUUUUAUUUGAGAACAAAAGUACCGUCUCUCUAAGGAGACAGAUGCCGGUCUGCCACUCCAGAUACUCUGUCCCUUGCAGCUAUUGCUAAAGAUCUUUUCCAAACGGCUGUAGUCUGGAAGGCUUGUCCUAACCCCACUACAACACUGGACUUGAACCAUCUUGAGCCUCGAGUCUCUUCAUCAGCAGACUAAAAAGACACUUUGGUUGUGGGAGUAUCUCUUAGUUCUUGUCCUCAAAGAAGGAAAGAAUCCAGAGAUGGAUGUGAAUUAAGCAGCAGUUUACGUAAUAAAGCUAAACAUAACAAACAGAGAGACUGGUGUAUGCUUUCCCAAGGCAGGGAGCAGCCCAGUGAGUUGCUAAGUCGUUAUUAAGUAACACCUUAUUAAGCGGUGGACUGCAAAGAAGUUUCUGGGGACAUCUCUGAAUGGACUGCAAAGAAGUUUCUGGGGACAUCUCUGAGGUGCGUAGUGUCUUCGAGGGGAGGUGUUGAUAAUAGGUAGAUGCCUCCUUGCCUCGUCCUUUGGUUUUCCCUUCUCCAGACUCCACCCACACUCUUGUCCGGUUCUUGUGUGACUCUUCUCUGGGGAGACGAGAACAAAUGUCUCCUCCCUCCAGAGAGAGGAUCUGACAAGUCCAACUCAGUGAGCUGUUGAAUUUAUCAGGGUGCCAUCCCGAGAGGGGACGAGGGGUGAUUUGCUGGGUCAUAAGUAACUCAAAGACACAAUGUGUGGGCUGCAACCCUGGAGCUCCCUGACAACUGUGGCCUGCAGUUCUCACUCUUACAUAACUAUGGGAAGGUAGGGGUGUUGUGGGUCUUGUAAGUUUCAGGGUCUUCCUGAGAUUUAUGACUUGUUUUCUUCAAGUUCUUAAGGAGCCUCCCUCCAGGAUGGAAAUCUUUCAACUUGCUGCAUGUCACCAUAUAGCCCUCUCUUCAUCCCCAUCUUUAGUGUUCUCUCUUUAACAUAUGUGUGUAUGCACACACGUGCACACACAUGUGAAUGCACCCACACCCCUACAGUAUAAGAGCCACAUACAUGUGUGAAGGUCAGAGGAAAACUUGAAGACUUGCUUCUCUUCUUACUCCAUGUGAGCUCUGGAGACUGAACUCCGAUUAGCAGGUGUGGCAGCAAGCACCUUUACCUACUGGGCUAGCUCACUGACUCCUAAUGUCCCCCUUAAUCACAUGGGCACAGUGCCAUAGAACACAGGGCAGUCUUCUGUCAUGCGGGGUCUGCAGCAAGGCGCUGCUUGGUCAUACCAUGAUAAGGC
Molecule: long non-coding RNA, 2606 nt
Organism: Arvicola amphibius (Eurasian water vole)
Lineage: Eukaryota; Metazoa; Chordata; Mammalia; Rodentia; Cricetidae
Exons: 4
Source: RefSeq, a predicted model, not a curated record